AUUUUAGACCCUGUGCUACAAUUGAACAAUAAAAUAAAAACAACAGGGUACGUACUGAGCAACCUUUGCCUUGCCCACAAGGCAAAUUCAAGAAAACCUAGCAGUUUCUCUUGGGCUUCUGCUAUGUUUCAGUGCCAUCUGAGCCUCCUCUAACCAUCAUUUAUACUCUGCAUUGUAUGGUAAUAGUGUUCUCUGGUUAAAGCAUAUACUUGCUCCUAACAAAGUGACUGGGCCAUAUUCAGUUAUUGGAGAGUAGGCUAGGAAAGAUCAAUCCCUAUUUCCACCAACCGCAUCCAACAAGAUUCAUAGGAGACCAUGGAGAAGAGAGGGGUGGAUCAAAAAUGUGAGGGAAAGCAAAUCCCUUGAACUGUCAAGACAGGCAGAAGCAGCCAUGCUUUUUCAUCUCUGGUAGGAUAGGAA
Molecule: long non-coding RNA, 420 nt
Filed under: Pogona vitticeps (central bearded dragon)
Lineage: Eukaryota; Metazoa; Chordata; Lepidosauria; Squamata; Agamidae
Description: lncRNA (ENSPVIG00000000297.1)
Source: RNAcentral